RNAcentral lists this ribosomal RNA (500 nucleotides) under uncultured bacterium. RNAcentral describes it as "partial 16S ribosomal RNA". It matches the Rfam family "Bacterial small subunit ribosomal RNA", at positions 30 to 523 of the family's 1533-position model. The record is from RNAcentral.
AUUGAACGCUGGCGGAAUGCUUUACACAUGCAAGUCGAACGGCAGCACGGACUUCGGUCUGGUGGCGAGUGGCGAACGGGUGAGUAAUAUAUCGGAACGUGCCCAGUCGUGGGGGAUAACGUAGCGAAAGUUACGCUAAUACCGCAUACGAUCUACGGAUGAAAGCGGGGGAUCGCAAGACCUCGCGCGAUUGGAGCGGCCGAUAUCAGAUUAGGUAGUUGGUGGGGUAAAGGCUCACCAAGCCAACGAUCUGUAACUGGUCUGAGAGGACGAACCGGCACACGGGAUCUGAGACACGGUACAAACACCUGGGGGAGGCAGCAGUGGGGAAUUUUGGGCAAGGGACGCGAGUCGAAUCCAGCCAUUCCGCGUGCAGGAUGAAGGCCCUCGGGUUGUAGACUGCUUUUGGACAGAACGAAGAGGCUCUCCCUAAUACGGAGGGCUCAUGACGGUACUUUAAGAAUAAGCACCGGCUAACUACGUGCCAGCAGCCGCCGUAA